CCCCGCCCUGCCAUCCUUCUCCUCUCUGCAUCCCUUGAGCCACUGGUGUUCCUCAGAUGGAGGAUGUGGCUGGCUUUCCAGACUGCUCUGCACCUGCUGCUCCACCUCCUACAAAGCCCUUGCCCUGCCCCUGCCACUCUUGAGGGAAUGAAUGAGUGACAGACAUGUGAGUAAUAGACACUUGUGAAGUGAACAAGAAAACUGCUGAAGAUGAUUCCGAUUCCGCCGGCCCGGCCAGCCCCUGGGACAUCAGGGCACUUCCAAUUGUCCCUGUGCACAGGUGAUUACAUUUAUGUUGAAUUUUUUAAUUGUCAAAGUUGUACUAACAGCAAUACAGAAAAAAGACCCACUUGGGGUCACCCCAC
Molecule: long non-coding RNA, 365 nt
Filed under: Heterocephalus glaber (naked mole-rat)
Lineage: Eukaryota; Metazoa; Chordata; Mammalia; Rodentia; Bathyergidae
Description: lncRNA (ENSHGLG00000042150.1)
Source: RNAcentral